Molecule: ribosomal RNA, 1181 nt
Filed under: uncultured bacterium
Lineage: Bacteria
Description: bacterial SSU rRNA
Rfam family: Bacterial small subunit ribosomal RNA
Source: RNAcentral
AGAGUUUGAUCAUGGCUCAGAACGUACGCUGGCGGCACGCCUAACACAUGCAAGUCGAACGAAGUAGCAAUACUUAGUGGCAGACGGGUGAGUAACAUGCUGGUAUCUGCCCUUUGGCCUGGAAUAACACGAGGAAACUUGUGCUAAUACCGGAUAAGUCUUUACGGAGAAAGCUUUAUGCACCAUUGGAUGAGCCUGCACUUGAUUAGUUUGUUGGUGGGGUAAUGGCCUACCAAGACUUUGAUCAAUAGCUGAUUUGAGAGGAUGAUCAGCCACACUGGGACUGAGACACGGCCCAGACUCCUACGGGAGGCAGCAGUGGGGAAUUUUCCGCAAUGGGCGAAAGCCUGACGGAGCAACGCCGCGUGAGGGACGAAGGCCUCUGGGCUGUAAACCUCUUUUCUCAAGGAAGAAGAUAUGACGGUACUUGAGGAAUAAGCCACGGCUAAUUCCGUGCCAGCAGCCGCGGUAAUACGGGAGUGGCAAGCGUUAUCCGGAAUUAUUGGGCGUAAAGCGUCCGCAGGCGGCUUUUCAAGUCUGCUGUUAAAGCGUGGAGCUUAACUCCAUCAUGGCAGUGGAAACUGAAAGGCUUGAGUAUGGUAGGGGCAGAGGGAAUUCCCGGUGUAGCGGUGAAAUGCGUAGAUAUCGGGAAGAACACCAGUGGCGAAGGCGCUCUGCUGGGCCAUUACUGACGCUCAUGGACGAAAGCCAGGGGAGCGAAAGGGAUUAGAUACCCCUGUAGUCCUGGCCGUAAACGAUGAACACUAGGUGUCGGGGGAAUCGACCCCUUCGGUGUCGUAGCUAACGCGUUAAGUGUUCCGCCUGGGGAGUACGCACGCAAGUGUGAAACUCAAAGGAAUUGACGGGGGCCCGCACAAGCGGUGGAGUAUGUGGUUUAAUUCGAUGCAACGCGAAGAACCUUACCAGGGUUUGACAUCCUGCGAACCUCUUAGAAAUUUGAGGGUGCCUUCGGGAAUGCAGUGACAGGUGGUGCAUGGCUGUCGUCAGCUCGUGUCGUGAGAUGUUGGGUUAAGUCCCGCAACGAGCGCAACCCUUGCCCUCAGUUGCCAGCAGUUCGGCUGGGCACUCUGGGGGGACUGCCGGUGACAAGCCGGAGGAAGGUGGGGAUGACGUCAAGUCCUCAUGGCCUUUAUAUCCAGGGCUACACACGUGUUACAAUG